This 589-nucleotide ribosomal RNA is filed under the name Hanseniaspora uvarum. RNAcentral describes it as "partial large subunit ribosomal RNA". It matches the Rfam family "Eukaryotic large subunit ribosomal RNA", at positions 66 to 669 of the family's 3401-position model. The record is from RNAcentral. Lineage: Eukaryota; Fungi; Ascomycota; Saccharomycetes; Saccharomycodales; Saccharomycodaceae.
CACUGGGGGAUACGUUACCUACGGCGAGUGAAGCGGUAAAAGCUCAAAUUUGAAAUCUGGUACUUUCAGUGCCCGAGUUGUAAUUUGUAGAAUUUGUCUUUGAUUAGGUCCUUGUCUAUGUUCCUUGGAACAGGACGUCAUAGAGGGUGAGAAUCCCGUUUGGCGAGGAUACCUUUUCUCUGUAAGACUUUUUCGAAGAGUCGAGUUGUUUGGGAAUGCAGCUCAAAGUGGGUGGUAAAUUCCAUCUAAAGCUAAAUAUUGGCGAGAGACCGAUAGCGAACAAGUACAGUGAUGGAAAGAUGAAAAGAACUUUGAAAAGAGAGUGAAAAAGUACGUGAAAUUGUUGAAAGGGAAGGGCAUUUGAUCAGACAUGGUGUUUUUUGCAUGCACUCGCCUCUCGUGGGCUUGGGCCUCUCAAAAAUUUCACUGGGCCAACAUCAAUUCUGGCAGCAGGAUAAAUCAUUAAGAAUGUAGCUACUUCGGUAGUGUUAUAGCUUUUUGGAAUACUGUUAGCCGGGAUUGAGGACUGCGCUUCGGCAAGGAUGUUGGCAUAAUGGUUAAAUGCCGCCCGUCUUGAAACACGGACCCA